UACGAAGGGUGCAAACGUUGCUCGGAAUUAUUGGGCGUAAAGCGCACGUAGGCGGCUUAGCAAGUCGGAAGUGAAAUCCCUCGGCUCAACCAAGGAAGUGCUUUCGAAACUGCUGAGCUUGAGUACUAAAGAGGAUCGCGGAAUUCCCGGUGUAGAGGUGAAAUUCGUAGAUAUCGGGAGGAACACCAGUGGCGAAGGCGGCGAUCUGGGUAGAUACUGACGCUGAGGUGCGAAAGCGUGGGGAGCAACAGG
This 252-nucleotide ribosomal RNA is filed under the name uncultured bacterium. RNAcentral's name for it is "partial 16S ribosomal RNA". It matches the Rfam family "Bacterial small subunit ribosomal RNA", at positions 524 to 775 of the family's 1533-position model. The record is from RNAcentral.